Molecule: small nuclear RNA, 182 nt
Organism: Oncorhynchus kisutch (coho salmon)
Lineage: Eukaryota; Metazoa; Chordata; Actinopteri; Salmoniformes; Salmonidae
Gene: U2
Rfam family: U2 spliceosomal RNA
About the family: U2 is a small nuclear RNA (snRNA) component of the spliceosome (involved in pre-mRNA splicing).
Source: Ensembl
AUUUUUUGAAUAAGAAUUUGAUUUGUAUAAUAAGAAUGGUAUUUGAACGUAAUAAAUUAUUUUUCAAAAAAAAAAAACAUAUUAAAUGGAUUUUUCGAACAGGGAGUUGGAAAUGGGGCCUGCUCCGUCCGCUCCACGCAUCGACCCGGUAUUGCAGUACCUCCGGGAACGGUGCAACACUU